Molecule: non-coding RNA, 458 nt
Organism: Leptonychotes weddellii (Weddell seal)
Lineage: Eukaryota; Metazoa; Chordata; Mammalia; Carnivora; Phocidae
Source: RefSeq, a predicted model, not a curated record
GAGACCUCCGAGCUGCCUAGACGGGACCCGGAAGUGCGCGCCGGGGAGCCCGAGUUUCCAGUCGUGCCCGGGGACCGAGGGCGCCGCCGCUGCGGAGCGGCUGCGCGAUGACUGCCCGUCCGUUGUGCCGCGCUCUGAAGAAAUUUUAGAGGAGGUCUUGUCUUUGGAACAGCACUGGGGAUUGGAUCCAGCCCAUGGAGAAGCUGCCUGAGCAGAUAACCCCGGAGUCCCUGUCCCCAUCCUCCAAGCAGGAGCCCCGAAAGAGCAAGGCCCCAAGGCUCUAUUACAUGUAAAUAAAGCCUGUAACCAACGUUUCCUCUCGACUGUGUGGAGCAGACCUGCAGCACAGUAGUAUCCUAGCACUAAGUCUAGGAGGAUCUGUCAUUCCAGCACCUGCCAACUUGCUUGGCCUUUGGAGAAGCUCAGUAAAUGUGUGAAUAAAUAAAUGAAUGAACUCA